RNAcentral lists this ribosomal RNA (754 nucleotides) under Bacillus pumilus. RNAcentral's name for it is "bacterial SSU rRNA". It matches the Rfam family "Bacterial small subunit ribosomal RNA", at positions 35 to 771 of the family's 1533-position model. The record is from RNAcentral. Lineage: Bacteria; Bacillati; Bacillota; Bacilli; Caryophanales; Bacillaceae.
GGCGGGGGGGUGCCUAAUACAUGCAAGUCGAGCGGACAGAAGGGAGCUUGGUCCCGGAUGUUAUCGGCGCCCCGGGUGAGUAACACGUGGGUAACCUGCCUGUAAGACUGGGAUAACUCCGGGAAACCGGAGCUAAUACCGGAUAGUUCCUUGAACCGCAUGGGUCACGGGUGAAAGACGGUUUCUGCUGUCACUUACAGAUGGACCCGCGGCGCAUUAUCUAGUUGGUGAGGUAACGGCUCACCAAGGCGACGAUGCGUAGCCGACCUGAGAGGGUGAUCGGCCACACUGGGACUGAGACACGGCCCAGACUCCUACGGGAGGCAGCAGUAGGGAAUCUUCCGCAAUGGACGAAAGUCUGACGGAGCAACGCCGCGUGAGUGAUGAAGGUUUUCGGAUCGUAAAGCUCUGUUGUUAGGGAAGAACAAGUGCAAGAGUAACUGCUUGCACCUUGACGGUACCUAACCAGAAAGCCACGGCUAACUACGUGCCAGCAGCCGCGGUAAUACGUAGGUGGCAAGCGUUGUCCGGAAUUAUUGGGCGUAAAGGGCUCGCAGGCGGUUUCUUAAGUCUGAUGUGAAAGCCCCCGGCUCAACCGGGGAGGGUCAUUGGAAACUGGGAAACUUGAGUGCAGAAGAGGAGAGUGGAAUUCCACGUGUAGCGGUGAAAUGCGUAGAGAUGUGGAGGAACACCAGUGGCGAAGGCGACUCUCUGGUCUGUAACUGACGCUGAGGAGCGAAAGCGUGGGGAAGCC